GCAUAUCAAUAAGCGGAAGGAAAAGAAACUAACAAGGAUUCCCCUAGUAACUGCGAGUGAAGCGGGAAAAGCUCAAAUUUAAAAUCUGGUAGUCUUUGGCUGCCCGAGUUGUAAUCUAGAGAAGUGUUACCCGUGCUGGACCGUGUACAAGUCUCCUGGAAUGGAGCGUCAUAGAGGGUGAGAAUCCCGUCUUUGACACGGACUCCCAGUGCUUUUGUGGUGCGCUCUCAACGAGUCGAGUUGUUUGGGAAUGCAGCUCAAAAUGGGUGGUGAAUUCCAUCUAAAGCUAAAUAUUGGCGAGAGACCGAUAGCGAACAAGUACCGUGAGGGAAAGAUGAAAAGAACUUUGGAAAGAGAGUUAAACAGUACGUGAAAUUGUUGAAAGGGAAACGCUUGAAGUCAGUCGCGUUGUCCGGAAAUCAACCUUGGUUCUCCUGGGUGUACUUUCCGGUUAACGGGCCAGCAUCAGUUUCGAUCGGUGGAAAAAGUCCAAGGGAAUGUGGCAUCUUCGGAUGUGUUAUAGCCCUUGGUCGUAUGCACCGGUUGGGACUGAGGAAUUCAGCACGCCGCAAGGCCGGGGUUCGCCCACGUACGUGCUUAGGAUGCUGGCAUAAUGGCUUUAAUCGACCCGUCUUGAAACACGGACCAAGGAGUCUAACAUGCUUGCGAGUGUUUGGGUGGAAAACCCGAGCGCGAAAUUAACGUGAAAGUCAAGAUCUCUGUCGCGGAGAGCAUUGACGCCCAGACCAGAAGUUUACGGACGGUUCUGCGGUAAAGCACGUAUGUUGGGACCCGAAAGAUGGUGAACUAUGCCUGAAUAGGGUGAAGCCAGAGGAAACUCUGGUGGAGGCUCGUAGCGAUUUCUGACGUGCAAAUCGAUCGUCGAAAUUUGGGUAUAGGGGGCGAAAGACUAAUCGAAACCAUCUAGUAGCUGGUUCCUGCCGGAAG
Molecule: ribosomal RNA, 948 nt
Filed under: Coprinopsis gonophylla
Lineage: Eukaryota; Fungi; Basidiomycota; Agaricomycetes; Agaricales; Psathyrellaceae
Description: LSU rRNA
Rfam family: Eukaryotic large subunit ribosomal RNA
Source: RNAcentral